AGGGUUGUGGCUCAGUGGUAAAGUGCUUGCCUAGCAUGCUUGAAACUCUGGGUUUGAUCCCCAGCAACACAU
RNAcentral lists this transfer RNA (72 nucleotides) under Marmota marmota marmota (Alpine marmot). It matches the Rfam family "tRNA". Rfam says of the family: Transfer RNA (tRNA) molecules are approximately 80 nucleotides in length. Their secondary structure includes four short double-helical elements and three loops (D, anti-codon, and T loops). The record is from Rfam by way of RNAcentral. RNAcentral also lists the same sequence under 1 other name. Lineage: Eukaryota; Metazoa; Chordata; Mammalia; Rodentia; Sciuridae.